RNAcentral lists this ribosomal RNA (535 nucleotides) under uncultured bacterium. Its description in RNAcentral is "bacterial SSU rRNA". It matches the Rfam family "Bacterial small subunit ribosomal RNA", at positions 363 to 916 of the family's 1533-position model. The record is from RNAcentral.
UUUGGACAUGGGGGCAACCCUGNUCCAGCCAUGCCGCGUGAGUGAUGAAGGCCUUCGGGUUGUAAAGCUCUUUUGGCGGGGACGAUGAUGACGGUACCCGCAGAAUAAGCCCCGGCUAACUUCGUGCCAGCAGCCGCGGUAAGACGAAGGGGGCUAGCGUUGUUCGGAAUUACNUGGGCGUAAAGCGAGUGUAGGCGGUUAUCCAAGUCAGGUGUGAAAGCCUUGAGCUCAACUCAAGAAAUGCACUUGAUACUGGGUGACUAGAGGACCGGAGAGGAUAGUGGAAUUCCCAGUGUAGUGGUGAAAUACGUAGAGAUUGGGAAGAACACCAGUGGCGAAGGCGGCUAUCUGGACGGUUACUGACGCUAAGACUCGAAAGCGUGGGGAGCAAACAGGAUUAGAUACCCUGGUAGUCCACGCCGUAAACGAUGGGUGCUAGACGUUGGCGAGCUUGCUCGUCAGUGUCGCAGCUAACGCGUUAAGCACCCCGCCUGGGGAGUACGGCCGCAAGGUUGAAACUCAAAAAAAUUGACGA